ACUCUGUAUGUGACAUUCGAGCUUGCAGUAGGGGACUGCGGGGCAUCAGCUCAGGCUGCACAGAGCAGGAUGCUGCCCUGCUACGGAUGGACAGCCUGGAGGAGACACUCCAGGAACUAGAGACCACCCUGAGCGAGAUGGGCGCCAAAUCGACUAUGCCGUGUCCAGGCAGCCCCCAAUCCCUACGUCCCCACCCCCAGGUGGCUGCUACUCCCCUCCUCUCCCCUGCUGUCUUCCUGCUCCAGCCUCUGGGCUUGCAGAGUUGGGGAGCAGGGCCACAGGAGCACUGCCCACCUCCCUCAUCCUAUUGUCUAUAUUUCAGCCUACCAUGCUCUGGGAGCCUUCGUCCAGGCCAAGGCCUAUGGGCAGAGCCAGGGGCGGCCGGGAAGCCGGCCCACCCAGGACUCCGCUCUCCUGCUCAGGCAUGAACCAAGGGGGCUCUGUCCCUAUCUGCUCUCUGUAAGCCAGAGAAUAAAGCUUUCUCCUCUUCUCCACCCC
RNAcentral lists this long non-coding RNA (498 nucleotides) under Rattus norvegicus (Norway rat). Its description in RNAcentral is "long non-coding RNA NONRATT005955". The record is from RNAcentral. Lineage: Eukaryota; Metazoa; Chordata; Mammalia; Rodentia; Muridae.